This 487-nucleotide ribosomal RNA is filed under the name Teleopsis pallifacies. RNAcentral's name for it is "partial 16S ribosomal RNA". The stretch from base 251 to 409 matches the Rfam family "Bacterial large subunit ribosomal RNA", at positions 2473 to 2632 of the family's 2925-position model. Lineage: Eukaryota; Metazoa; Arthropoda; Insecta; Diptera; Diopsidae. The record is from RNAcentral.
GUUUCAUUUGAAAUUUUUAUAGAAUUUUAUUUUUUAGUUAAAAAGCUAAAAUAAAUUCAAAAGACGAGAAGACCCUAUAAAUCUUUAUUAUUUAUACAGAUUUUAAUUUAUUUUGAUUGUUUUUAUUAUUAUUUGUUAAAUAAUUUUAUUGGGGUGAUAAUAAAAUUUAAAUAACUUUUAUUUAAUUUAAAUCAUUAAUUUAUGAUUAAUUGAUCCAUUUUUAGUGAUUAAAAAUUUAAGUUACUUUAGGGAUAACAGCGUAAUUUUUUUGGAGAGUUCUUAUCGAUAAAAAAGUUUGCGACCUCGAUGUUGGAUUAAGAUUCAUAUUUAAAUGCAGAAGUUUAAAUAUUAAGUCUGUUCGACUUUAAUUUCUUACAUGAUCUGAGUUCAAACCGGUGUAAGCCAGGUUGGUUUCUAUCUUUGAUUUUAAAAAAUAUUUUAGUACGAAAGGAAUAAAUAUUUAUUAUAUAAUAAUUGUUUUGAGAAU